RNAcentral lists this ribosomal RNA (218 nucleotides) under uncultured bacterium. RNAcentral's name for it is "partial 16S ribosomal RNA". It matches the Rfam family "Bacterial small subunit ribosomal RNA", at positions 326 to 539 of the family's 1533-position model. The record is from RNAcentral.
ACGCUCGACACCUACGGUAGGCAGCAGUGAGGAAUAUUGGUCAAUGGGCGCUAGCCUGAACCAGCCAAGUAGCGUGAAGGAUGAAGGCUCUAUGGGUCGUAAACUUCUUUUAUAUAAGAAUAAAGUGCAGUAUGUAUACUGUUUUGUAUGUAUUAUAUGAAUAAGGAUCGGCUAACUCCGUUCCAGCAGCCGCGGUAAUCUGAGCGGGCUGGCAAGGC